UAGAGUUUGAUCCUGGCUCAGGAUGAACGCUGGCGGUCUGCUUAACACAUGCAAGUCGAACGCAACCUUCGGGUUGAGUGGCGGACGGGUGAGUAACGCGUGAGAAUCUGCCUUGGGGUCGGGGACAACCACUGGAAACGGUGGCUAAUACCGGAUAAGCCUUUGGGUAAAAGAUUUAUUGCCCCAAGAGGAGCUCGCGUCUGAUUAGCUAGUUGGUGAGGUAAAAGCUCACCAAGGCAGCGAUCAGUAGCUGGUCUGAGAGGACGAUCAGCCACACUGGGACUGAGACACGGCCCAGACUCCUACGGGAGGCAGCAGUGGGGAAUUUUCCGCAAUGGGCGAAAGCCUGACGGAGCAAGACCGCGUGAGGGAGGAAGGCUCUUGGGUUGUAAACCUCUUUUCUCAGGGAAGAAGCUCUGACGGUACCUGAGGAAUCAGCCUCGGCUAACUCCGUGCCAGCAGCCGCGGUAAUACGGAGGAGGCAAGCGUUAUCCGGAAUUAUUGGGCGUAAAGCGUCCGCAGGUGGCGAUCCAAGUCUGCUGUCAAAGCACGGGGCUUAACUCCGUUAAGGCAGUGGAAACUGAAUAGCUAGAGUGCCGUAGGGGUAGAGGGAAUUCCCGGUGUAGCGGUGAAAUGCGUAGAGAUCGGGAAGAACAUCGGUGGCGAAAGCGCUCUACUGGACGGCAACUGACACUCAGGGACGAAAGCUAGGGGAGCGAAUGGGAUUAGAUACCCCAGUAGUCCUAGCUGUAAACGAUGGAUACUAGGUGUAGCUUGUAUCGACCCGAGCUGUGCCGAAGCUAACGCGUUAAGUAUCCCGCCUGGGGAGUACGCACGCAAGUGUGAAACUCAAAGGAAUUGACGGGGGCCCGCACAA
Molecule: ribosomal RNA, 877 nt
Filed under: uncultured organism
Description: bacterial SSU rRNA
Rfam family: Bacterial small subunit ribosomal RNA
Source: RNAcentral